This 76-nucleotide transfer RNA is filed under the name Acidobacteriota bacterium. RNAcentral's name for it is "Acidobacteria bacterium tRNA-Gly". It matches the Rfam family "tRNA". Rfam says of the family: Transfer RNA (tRNA) molecules are approximately 80 nucleotides in length. RNAcentral also lists the same sequence under 2 other names. Lineage: Bacteria; Pseudomonadati; Acidobacteriota. The record is from RNAcentral.
GCGGGCGUAGCUCAGUUGGUAGAGUACGAGCUUCCCAAGCUCGGUGUCGCGGGUUCGAGCCCCGUCGCCCGCUCCA